AGAUCACAUUUUACUGAAUUGGUGAAAAUGAAACAGGAAGUUUAACAGAAUCUCUUCAAUGGUUGCUUUUCAUCCCAUUUCUGGAAACAUUCCUAGAAGAAAACAGCCCCGCAAAAGACCAGUAUUGAUUCAGUAUCAUUUGCAUUGUUCUGUCAGCAGAAAAUAAAUGGAGAGCUGAGCUAAGAGAUUAUAUCCUUCAUUGACUGAAGUUUCACCCAGAUAUGUUGGAUGUGUAACAGUUCUGGCAAAUCCCUCUCUCUGGUGGUGAAAACAAGUUCUCAAACAGUUUUGGUUAGAGGCUAGUUAAAUCACUAGUUAGAGCAUAGUGGAAUAUCAGGAGUAUGAGAUGACUUACUUUAUUUGAGUUCCUUUCCUAUAUGGAAUUUAGAUCUAGGAUCCUUCCCUCAAUCCUUCUUAGGCACCACAGAUCCGCAAAAUUUUGAUAAUGAUAGUGGGCUGACAAAGACCUGUCAAAGCAGGUGAGACAAUUCAGUAACUUUUGUUUACAGUAGAAGCAAACUUUAUGGCAUUACAGAAAAAACUUACUAUAGCUGGUAGAGCAAGGUGUAGUUUCAAAUAAAGAUUGAAUUGUUGACGAUAUUACAGGUCUUGAAAUAAAGUUAAGAAAAUGUG
Molecule: non-coding RNA, 633 nt
Organism: Phasianus colchicus (ring-necked pheasant)
Lineage: Eukaryota; Metazoa; Chordata; Aves; Galliformes; Phasianidae
Source: RefSeq, a predicted model, not a curated record